GGGACUGUAGCUCAGUGGUAGAGCAUCUGCUUUGUGUGCAGAAGGUCCCAGGUUCAGUCCCUGGCAGCAUCUCCA
Molecule: non-coding RNA, 75 nt
Organism: Hemicordylus capensis (graceful crag lizard)
Lineage: Eukaryota; Metazoa; Chordata; Lepidosauria; Squamata; Cordylidae
Source: the annotation of a RefSeq genome assembly